This 72-nucleotide small RNA is filed under the name Xanthomonas fragariae. RNAcentral's name for it is "sX9 sRNA". It matches the Rfam family "Xanthomonas sRNA sX9". The record is from RNAcentral. Lineage: Bacteria; Pseudomonadati; Pseudomonadota; Gammaproteobacteria; Lysobacterales; Lysobacteraceae.
AUGUACCACGCGUACACUCCGGUUCCUGCGCGUCGUCCGCACCCACCAGACGGUCGCUACGUGUUGUUCGCC